UUAUUGAUUUCUCUUAGUGUCCGUUUCCCCCCUAAGCUCGUCGUGAGCGGCGAGGGAGCCCACCAACUCCGUCGUGUUCUACUCUCCCUAGCGCUUACGUACGGUGCUCCUUCCCGUCGAAGACAGGUUCCGCUUUUCCCUUCCCGGACCACCCAGCACACCUCGCCCAGCCUCUACUACUCCUCCGAGACCAGCGGCAGCCCCCUCCCGUUGCUCCAGCCUAUCAGGAAGGAGCCCGUGCAUCCGGAACCAGAAGUCGCCCUUUAGCGGGACUCCGUCGGCGACCUAGAAGCCCAGAAGAUUAAGGAACUUGCACCCCCUUAGCCGCUGUGCAGCUGAAAUGGCUGGUGAGUUUUGGGCUGCUCCUGCCUUUCCCUGAAGAGUCGCCACGGCAACCGACGAGUCCAGCCCACCCGAAACUCACUCGGCUCCGGGAACAGCUCCAACUCAUCAGUUCGACACGAAGGGGGAUCCGUUCAUAUUGGUUCUAUAGAAUGUAAGCUCGUUGUGGGCUAGGAAUUUGACUGUUUAUUCUCAUACUGUAGUUUCCCAAGCACCAAAUACACAGCUCCCCUUGCGCUUAGUGUGCUCAAUUGCGCUCAAUAAAUGUGAACGAAUGAUUAAAUUA
Long non-coding RNA from Ornithorhynchus anatinus (platypus), 628 nucleotides. RefSeq lists it as uncharacterized. Lineage: Eukaryota; Metazoa; Chordata; Mammalia; Monotremata; Ornithorhynchidae. The record is from RefSeq and is a predicted model, not a curated record. The transcript is spliced from 2 exons.